RNAcentral lists this long non-coding RNA (1211 nucleotides) under Gallus gallus (chicken). Its description in RNAcentral is "lncRNA (ENSGALG00010004206.1)". The record is from RNAcentral. Lineage: Eukaryota; Metazoa; Chordata; Aves; Galliformes; Phasianidae.
CCCUUAUUAAUGUGGGAGGUCUCAACUCUCCCAGAAGGCCUGUGAGACCUUAACUGUGUUCAUUUGGAGACAAAUUUUGGCUCUUUGCCAUAAUUAAAGGACAAUACGGGAUCCCAAGAUCUGUACAAAUUCCGUCGUUCUGUAGGUGUUUCAGAAGAGGUAGCUGAUGGAAAAUAUAACGUGAGUCUGAGCUUACAUGUACUGUGGAAUAGCAGGAUGAUUUCUUCUCUCUUGUCCUGUCUGGGGAUUCCCGCAGUUGUGUACAAAAGUGGAAAACUGCCUCAGUCUCUCGUCUGUUUGGAAAGUGCUGCUUUUGCUGGCCAGGAAUGCAGGCAGCCACCUAUGAACUGGCUCACCUGUUGCAUGUUGAGAAGUAAGAUGAUGAAUACCAGUUCUGUAAAACUGCUCAGACGAGGAAAAUUACAUGGCCAUUAUAAGUCAGUUGCAUGAAAAUCCUUGGGUAAACAUCAUACAUUCUGGGCCACUUGAAGGUGAAUAUUUUCAUCAGAUCUCUCCCCAUCCUGUAAUUUAUAAUCAGUGGAGCUAGUAUGCAGUGCUUUAAGACCAUAAAACAGAAAAUUCUCAUGGAAGGAAAAAUUCAUAAUGUUUGCCAGAUGAUAAUCCAGAAGGUCUACAUGCUCAGAAUGUUGAUUGUUGACCCAUUACCUUCUUCAACAACACAAGAUGGAAGAAGAUAAUAAAAUUAUCAUGAUAAAGAUUUUUUUUCAUGAAGAUGUCCAACUGUGUACCUGCCAUGCAUGAAGGAAACAAAAUGACAUGGACAAAUGAAAUAGGACCAGGAGACUGAGUGCAAGCAGGUGGCGAGACUGCUGGGUGCUGGAAUUCAUACAAUUGGAAUAGUGUCCCCAACUGAGAGCCUUAGCUUCAUCUGGCAUACCAAGAAAUGCAACCUCCCCCCACCUUCUGCUUGACCACAGAGUGUUCAGUGUGGAGCAGGUUCAGCCUUCGGUCUCCCUGUCAGAUCUAUAAUGUUUCCCAGUGAUGGGCAGGAUUGAGUUAAGUGACAUCAGAGUAUCCGAAAGCCCUCUCUGAAGUUAGUGGGACCACUCAUCUGGACAUAGUUAGUCAUAUGUAUCAGUGUCUGAAGGACAAGUAUGAGGGGUGCUGGGCAAAGCUUGCCAUUUCACAUUAAAACAGUUGUGGAAAAGUGUAUCAGAUCACAAUAUAUUGUAUUUAUUUUAUGUGAACAG